This 342-nucleotide ribosomal RNA is filed under the name uncultured bacterium. RNAcentral describes it as "bacterial SSU rRNA". It matches the Rfam family "Bacterial small subunit ribosomal RNA", at positions 29 to 394 of the family's 1533-position model. The record is from RNAcentral.
AACGAACGCUGGCGGCAUGCCUAACACAUGCAAGUCGAACGAAGCCUUCGGGCUUAGUGGCGCACGGGUGCGUAACGCGUGGGAAUCUGCCCUCGGUUCGGAAUAACAGUUAGAAAUAGACUGCUAAUAACCGGAUGAUGACGAAAGUACCAAAGAUUUAUUCGCCGAGGGAUGAGCCCGCGUAGGAUUAGCUUGUUGGUGGGUAAGUGGCCCACCAAGGCGACGAUCCUUAGCUGGUCUGAGAGGAUGAUCAGCCACACUGGGACUGAGACACGGCCCAGACUCCUACGGGAGGCAGCAGUGGGGGAAUAUUGGACAAUGGGCGAAAGCCUGAUCCAGCAA